AGGUGUGUGUUCAUCUCCGUGCUGCGGGUUCUUUCAGCAUGCUGGCAUAACCUCGAACGCUGGGUGUGCCCAGAAGGUUCGGGUUUGUUUCAUUUCCGUCACACGGUUCUUGGUACAAGUCACAAGCAGGAAGCCAAAGUCUGAGGCAUUAACUACCAAGGCCGAGUGGCUGGAAAGGUUCCCCACGUCAGCUCCCCUCCAGGUAAUCCCUUGACAAACAACCCCUGUUGACUGGCCUAGAGAAAAGCAGCACUUUGUAACCUAACUGGACAAACACCCUCCUCCAGAACUCUCCACGUUCACGGGAACACGAGGAAUGCCAAUGGUUUUAAAAUGGAGCCUCUGCUCGUCAUCCGCGCUUAUGUCAAUACCUGCCAUGUGACCGAACUCAAAAACGAAGUUUGCUGGUUGUCACAGCAUCUAAUUCUGUGACCCAGUUCUGAUUCUGGGAACUGUGUCCACUAAUACAUAUUUUUCCUAUACUCACCCAUCGAGGUAUACGUGGCACCACAGUUUUCCACGACUCAGCCAAUUAGAUGGUCACCAAGUAUUUGCUCAACCGCGACUGCACCGUAAGGUACAGAGAGACCUGUUUUCAUUCAGCUUGAACAGCUCAAGGGCUGGCACAGCUGCGGAUGUCACUGGCACUACAGCUGCUGGACACAGGCCAUGUGUGCCCAGGAACACCAAGUAAUAUUGCUGCCUGGCUGAAGCCAAAGAAAAAGAAUAAUCCUCUAAACAGACACUUAAUGAAACAAUCCCCCACUGUAUUUAUCUUUACAUACCUCAUCCUCAUCCUAGCCCCCACUGUGAUAUUUGGUUUUAUUGCAAAAUGAGAAAAAGACUUAGGUAGAGACCGAAUGGCUAA
Molecule: long non-coding RNA, 868 nt
Organism: Canis lupus familiaris (dog)
Lineage: Eukaryota; Metazoa; Chordata; Mammalia; Carnivora; Canidae
Exons: 2
Source: RefSeq, a predicted model, not a curated record